UACAGAGGGUGCAAGCGUUGCUCGGAAUCAUUGGGCGUAAAGGGCAAGUAGGUGGUCUCAUUUGUCUAGGGUGAAAUCCUUGAGCUUAACUCAAGAAGUGCCCUAGAAACGGUGAGACUCGAGUUCUGGAGAGGGUCGUGGAAUUCCCGGUGUAGCGGUGAAACGCGUAGAGAUCCGGAGGAACCCCAGAGGCGAAGGCGGCGCCCUGGCUCGCAACUGACGCUCAGACACGACAGCAUGGGGAGCGAACGGG
RNAcentral lists this ribosomal RNA (253 nucleotides) under uncultured bacterium. Its description in RNAcentral is "partial 16S ribosomal RNA". It matches the Rfam family "Bacterial small subunit ribosomal RNA", at positions 524 to 776 of the family's 1533-position model. The record is from RNAcentral.